AGGUCUCAGUUCCAUGGCUUCUAACUUCUCUUCCAGAUACAAAUCUGUGAUCCUCUGAUUCAGGCUAUUGCUGGGGAAAAGACCAAAAACAACUCUGACCUCAUAGCAAAUGCCAAAUGACUUGAAAAUUGCUGUAACCUGAUGUUCUACCUUAGUGGAAAGAACAGACACGAGGAGAUGGAGAUUAUGAAACUGGCAGAGAGUGAAUUGAAAGGCUGCUGCUAUUUUCUUCUUUUGACCUGGGAAGACAUUCUUUGCUUGUUUCCUUACUGAAAUGCACUAGGAGAUGUCAUUACAGAGAGUCCCUGGUACAACAUUCCCUGAACUCAUGCUCUGGAAUCUAUUUAGCAGCCAAGUAUUUUAUAGACCCAUAAAUACAAUCUCAGAUGUCAAUAAAGCAAUUAGGAAAA
Molecule: long non-coding RNA, 410 nt
Organism: Monodelphis domestica (gray short-tailed opossum)
Lineage: Eukaryota; Metazoa; Chordata; Mammalia; Didelphimorphia; Didelphidae
Source: RefSeq, a predicted model, not a curated record